RNAcentral lists this ribosomal RNA (500 nucleotides) under uncultured bacterium. RNAcentral's name for it is "partial 16S ribosomal RNA". It matches the Rfam family "Bacterial small subunit ribosomal RNA", at positions 30 to 523 of the family's 1533-position model. The record is from RNAcentral.
AUUGAACGCUGGCGGAAUGCUUUACACAUGCAAGUCGAACGGCAGCACGGACUUCGGUCUGGUGGCGAGUGGCGAACGGGUGAGUAAUAUAUCGGAACGUAUCCAAUAAUGGGGGAUAACUAAUUGAAAGGUUGGCUAAUACCGCAUACGUCCUACGGGAGAAAGCUAGGGACCUUCGGGCCUGGCGUUAAUGGAGCGGCCGAUAUCGGAUUAGCUAGUUGGUGAGGUAAAGGCUCACCAAGGCGACGAUCCGUAGCUGGUCUGAGAGGACGACCAGCCACACUGGAACUGAGACGCGGUCCAGACUCCUACGGGAGGCAGCAGUGGGGAAUUUUGGACAAUGGGCGAAAGCCUGAUCCAGCCAUUCCGCGUGAGUGAAGAAGGCCUUCGGGUUGUAAAGCUCUUUCGCAAGAGAAGAAAACUUACCCUCUAACAUAGGGUGAGGUUGACGGUAUCUUGAUAAGAAGCACCGGCUAACUACGUGCCAGCCGCCGCAGUAA